UCAUAAAUACUAAGGGAUGGAAGGGACCUCAGAGGGAUUCUGGGACUACAAACAAACCCAGUCUGAUCAGUGAUGCUCUGUUUGGAAACUUGCAUUGAUGAUGAACUAAUUACCAUCUCAGGUGCUAAGCUCUGUUGUGUCUACAUGGUCAAAGGAAGGAAAGAAGGAAGGAAGAACAAAAGCUAUUAAUGUCCUCUGAGCUGGCCUCCCCCUUUCCCCUCCAGUUGCCUUGCCCUAGUUACUACUCUGGAACCAGCAGGCCUUCUGACUCAUCUCAUGUUCAUUGUACUAUGUUAUGCCACAUCCCAGAAGCAGAGGCAGCUUUUGUCCUCAAGGAGCUUACAUAGAUGUAUCAAAGGCACAACAGCUACUAUAAGGCAUAGGUGCUCAUUGAUAUUGUGCAAAAGGGGCAGGAAUCGAGACCAACACAGACAUAUAUUUGAAGGUUCAGAGGCUCUCUCUGGGACCUCAAUGGACAUUAAAAGACUUUGGGGGAAUUCAUCAUGCCUCCUUCAACUGUUGAAAAACAUCCCUGAGAGGGACUGCUUCCUGGGUAACAGAAUGUAGAUGUCUGAAUGCAAUGAAGGACCUUCCCUAAAUGUUCUCUGUCCCUGCUGCCUUUGAACUUUAGCAAUGUCUACAUUUGUAAG
RNAcentral lists this long non-coding RNA (650 nucleotides) under Monodelphis domestica (gray short-tailed opossum). Its description in RNAcentral is "lncRNA (ENSMODG00000047053.1)". Lineage: Eukaryota; Metazoa; Chordata; Mammalia; Didelphimorphia; Didelphidae. The record is from RNAcentral.